RNAcentral lists this transfer RNA (72 nucleotides) under Marmota monax (woodchuck). RNAcentral describes it as "tRNA.Ala". The record is from RNAcentral. Lineage: Eukaryota; Metazoa; Chordata; Mammalia; Rodentia; Sciuridae.
GGGAUGUAGCUCAGUGGUACAGUGUGUGCCUAGCAUGUGCAAGAUCAUAGGUUUGAUCCCCACACAUCAUCA